UACGGGGGGAGCAAGCGUUGUUCGGAUUUACUGGGCGUAAAGGGCGCGUAGGCGGUCAGCACAAGUCAGUUGUGAAAUCUCCGGGCUUAACUCGGAAAGGUCAACUGAUACUGUGCGACUAGAGUGCAGAAGGGGCAACUGGAAUUCUCGGUGUAGCGGUGAAAUGCGUAGAUAUCGAGAGGAACACCUGCGGCGAAGGCGGCAUCCUGGACCGACACUGACACUGAGGAGCGAAAGCCAGGGGAGCAAACGGG
This 254-nucleotide ribosomal RNA is filed under the name uncultured bacterium. Its description in RNAcentral is "partial 16S ribosomal RNA". It matches the Rfam family "Bacterial small subunit ribosomal RNA", at positions 524 to 776 of the family's 1533-position model. The record is from RNAcentral.